RNAcentral lists this ribosomal RNA (460 nucleotides) under uncultured bacterium. RNAcentral describes it as "partial 16S ribosomal RNA". It matches the Rfam family "Bacterial small subunit ribosomal RNA", at positions 338 to 795 of the family's 1533-position model. The record is from RNAcentral.
CCUACGGGUGGCAGCAGUGAGGAAUAUUGGUCAAUGGGCGGGAGCCUGAACCAGCCAAGUCGCGUGAGGGAAGACGGUCCUACGUAUUGUAAACCUCUUUUGCCGGGGAGCAACGGGGUCCUUGCGAGGGCCCGAUGAGAGUACCCGGAGAAAAAGCAUCGGCUAACUCCGUGCCGGCAGCCGCGGUAAUACGGAGGAUGCGGGCGUUAUCCGGAUUUAUUGGGUUUAAAGGGUGCGUAGGCGGACAGUCAAGUCAGCGGUAAAAAUGCGGUGCUCAACGCCGUACAGCCGUUGAAACUGGCAGGCGUGAGUGGGCGAGAAGUAUGCGGAAUGCGUGGUGUAGCGGUGAAAUGCAUAGAUAUCACGCAGAACUCCGAUGGCGAAGGCAGCAUACCGGCGCCCGACUGACGCUGAGGCACGAAAGCGUGGGUAUCGAACAGGAUUAGAUACCCCAGUAGUC